Molecule: ribosomal RNA, 238 nt
Filed under: uncultured bacterium
Lineage: Bacteria
Description: partial 16S ribosomal RNA
Rfam family: Bacterial small subunit ribosomal RNA
Source: RNAcentral
CGGAGCGGGUGAGUAACGCGUGAGGAACCUGCCUCAAAGAGGGGGACAACAGUUGGAAACGACUGCUAAUACCGCAUAAGCCCACGGCUCGGCAUCGAGCAGAGGGAAAAGGAGCAAUCCGCUUUGAGAUGGCCUCGCGUCCGAUUAGCUAGUUGGUGAGGUAACGGCCCACCAAGGCGACGAUCGGUAGCCGGACUGAGAGGUUGAACGGCCACAUUGGGACUGAGACACGGUCCAA